GAGAGAAUAAGAGGUCUUAUAAGAUGAACAGAAGAAGAAAAAGAGGCUUUCUAGGUGUUGUCCCUCUUCUGAGGCUCGAACGGCGCUUUUCCACGAAGGAUAAUUACUAACAGUUUCGCCUGCAUCAUUCGCAGAUCACUCAGUCAUGCCGACACGUCUUCUUCGUCCUCAGAGCCAGAAGCCUGAUCUGUCGUUUCCUUGUACUAAGCGAGCAAUGUCGGAAGAAGACAGCUUUAUCGGGCACGCCAGCAGUGAUAGCUCGGUUUCCUGUCUCUCGCCAGCGGCGCAGCAGCUGGCCAAUACAAUGCCGACUCAAGCUAAGCCCACCGGAACGAUGUAAAUAGUUCCAAACCUCACCGAAGAUGAUAAAGAACGUCUCGUUUAUUUUAAGCACUUCAUAAACGCCUGUAGGAAGCUUGAAAUGAAGAAAAUUGGCUAUCAGAGAUCGAGAUAAUGAAUUAAGACGGUGCGUUUGAAUCAAAUACAAGAUGCCAACACGCCAUGUUGCUGCAAUUUGCAAGUUGCUGCCACAAAUGAUUGAUAACA
This is a long non-coding RNA of Varroa destructor (honeybee mite), 546 nucleotides long. RefSeq lists it as uncharacterized. Lineage: Eukaryota; Metazoa; Arthropoda; Arachnida; Mesostigmata; Varroidae. The record is from RefSeq and is a predicted model, not a curated record.